CCAGCCAUGCCGCGUGCAGGAUGACGGUCCUAUGGAUUGUAAACUGCUUUUGCACAGGAAGAAACACUACCUCGUGAGGUAGCUUGACGGUACUGUGAGAAUAAGGAUCGGCUAACUCCGUGCCAGCAGCCGCGGUAAUACGGAGGAUCCAAGCGUUAUCCGGAAUCAUUGGGUUUAAAGGGUCCGUAGGCGGCCAGAUAAGUCAGUGGUGAAAGCCCAUCGCUCAACGAUGGAACGGCCAUUGAUACUGUCUGGCUUGAAUUACUUGGAAGUAACUAGAAUAUGUAGUGUAGCGGUGAAAUGCUUAGAGAUUACAUGGAAUACCAAUUGCGAAGGCAGGUUACUACAAGUUUAUUGACGCUGAUGGACGAAAGCGUGGGUAGCGAACAGGAUUAGAUACCCUGGUAGUC
RNAcentral lists this ribosomal RNA (410 nucleotides) under Nostoc sp. HG1. Its description in RNAcentral is "bacterial SSU rRNA". It matches the Rfam family "Bacterial small subunit ribosomal RNA", at positions 388 to 795 of the family's 1533-position model. Lineage: Bacteria; Bacillati; Cyanobacteriota; Cyanophyceae; Nostocales; Nostocaceae. The record is from RNAcentral.